GGCUGUGAGGGAUGUUUAGCUGAGACAUCAGUCACCAGCUGAUGGCCCAGGGGGUGGGAGUUCUGCCCAUGUGACUGGCUAGGCAGGAGUCUCUUUCUCCCUCAUUACUCUCUACGUGCUCAGUUGAAGAGGAAGAAGGCAAUUCCCAAGUAGACAAAGAAUGUUCUUUGGUUGUGUCUACAGAGGAGCUGUCUCUCCUGCUAAAAACUCCAGGAAGCUCUAGAAAAUGGGCACCUCUGCUAAGCCCCAAGACAUCCUGUGCAGGUACACUGAGUCCCACGUGCCUGGCCUACUUCUUU
This 299-nucleotide small nuclear RNA is filed under the name Sorex araneus (European shrew). RNAcentral's name for it is "7SK RNA (ENSSARG00000018713.1)". It matches the Rfam family "7SK RNA". Rfam says of the family: 7SK was discovered as an abundant small nuclear RNA in the mid-70s but a possible function has only recently been suggested. Two independent studies have found that 7SK RNA binds the CDK9/cyclin T complex (known as elongation factor P-TEFb). P-TEFb activates transcription by phosphorylating the C-terminal domain of RNA polymerase II. Lineage: Eukaryota; Metazoa; Chordata; Mammalia; Eulipotyphla; Soricidae. The record is from RNAcentral.